Molecule: ribosomal RNA, 253 nt
Filed under: uncultured bacterium
Lineage: Bacteria
Description: partial 16S ribosomal RNA
Rfam family: Bacterial small subunit ribosomal RNA
Source: RNAcentral
UACGUAGGGUCCAAGCGUUGUUCGGAUUUACUGGGCGUAAAGGGCGCGUAGGCGGCCAUUCAAGUCAGCUGUGAAAUCUCCGGGCUUAACUCGGAACGGUCAGCUGAUACUGCUUUGCUAGAGUGCAGAAGGGGCAAUCGGAAUUCUUGGUGUAGCGGUGAAAUGCGUAGAUAUCAAGAGGAACACCUGAGGUGAAGACGGGUUGCUGGGCUGACACUGACGCUGAGGCGCGAAAGCUAGGGUAGCAAACGGG